RNAcentral lists this small RNA (176 nucleotides) under Chelonoidis abingdonii (Abingdon island giant tortoise). RNAcentral's name for it is "TUC338 (ENSCABG00000006972.1)". The record is from RNAcentral. Lineage: Eukaryota; Metazoa; Chordata; Testudines; Testudinidae.
CUGAGCUCUUAGGAGAAUGAAAUCAUGUGAUUAUCCCCAGAAGAGGUACAGAACAAAUUGCGGCAGUGCAAGCUUCCCCACAUGACCCCCCACCAGUGUCCUCAGCCCUGACCUGAGGAAUGCUUUAAAGGGGUAAGAGGGCAGUUUACUCUCAUUGCCUUCUCUUUUUGGCUUUC